CAGUAGCCACGGUAAUACGUAGGUCCCGAGCGUUGUCCGGAUUUAUUGGGCGUAAAGCGAGCGCAGGCGGUUAGAUAAGUCUGAAGUUAAGGGCUGUGGCUUAACCAUAGUAUGCUUUGGAAACUGUUUAACUUGAGUGCAGAAGGGGAGAGUGGAAUUCCAUGUGUAGCGGUGAGAUGAGUAGAUAUAUGGAGGAACACCGGUGGCGAAAGCGGCUCUCUGGUCUGUAACUGACGCUGAGAGACGAAAGCUAGGGGAGCAAAUGGGAUUAGAGACCCCAGUAGUCCCUGUCUCUUAUACA
This 301-nucleotide ribosomal RNA is filed under the name uncultured bacterium. RNAcentral's name for it is "partial 16S ribosomal RNA". It matches the Rfam family "Bacterial small subunit ribosomal RNA", at positions 509 to 808 of the family's 1533-position model. The record is from RNAcentral.